Molecule: unclassified non-coding RNA, 338 nt
Filed under: soil metagenome
Description: partial contains 5.8S ribosomal RNA, internal transcribed spacer 2, and large subunit ribosomal RNA
Rfam family: 5.8S ribosomal RNA (bases 1-120)
Source: RNAcentral
GAUGAAGAACGUAGCGAAAUGUGAUAAGUAGUGUGAAUUGCAGAAUUCAGUGAAUCAUCGAAUCUUUGAACGCACAUUGCGCCCUUUGGUAUUCCUUAGGGCAUGCCUGUUCGAGCGUCAUUUGAAACCUCAAGCUCAGCUUGGUGUUGGGUGUCUGUCCCCGCCUCACCGCGGGGACUCGCCUCAAAAUCAUUGGCGGCCGGUACGUUGGCUUCGAGCGCAGCAGAAACGCGAACUCGAGGCCCGGCGGAUCGGCGACCAGAAGUCACUUCUUCACAGUUUGACCUCGGAUCAGGUAGGGAUACCCGCUGAACUUAAGCAUAUCAAUAAGCGGAGGA